Molecule: non-coding RNA, 45 nt
Filed under: Trichobilharzia regenti
Lineage: Eukaryota; Metazoa; Platyhelminthes; Trematoda; Strigeidida; Schistosomatidae
Source: RNAcentral
AUCCAGAUUAUUAGUCCUAAAUAGGACGAAAUGCGCAUGCUGGAU